Long non-coding RNA from Macaca mulatta (Rhesus monkey), 1149 nucleotides. RefSeq lists it as uncharacterized. The record is from RefSeq and is a predicted model, not a curated record. Lineage: Eukaryota; Metazoa; Chordata; Mammalia; Primates; Cercopithecidae.
GCACAAAUUCUCUUGAACUUACUCCUCUUAUCUAACUGAAGUUUUGUAUCCUUUGACCAACAUCUCCCCAACCCCACCCGACCUGCCGCUCCAGCUGGUAAUCACCACUCUACUCUCUGCUUUUGUGAGUUCAAUUUUUUUUUAAGAAGGAACCUGCAUUUUUAACAGCUUCCCGGGAGAUUCUUAUGCACACUGACUGGGGACUGGCUGUGAGACUCUGCUCCCCAUCUCAGAACUUUCCUAGAGUGAGUGAGCGCCUUCACACUAGGAAAAUGUCAGCUCCAAUUUGCCUAGAGAAAGGGGACUGAGGGCCAGAGUGGUGCUAGCUUUGCUCUUUGCUUUUUUCCACUCCCGCCCCGCUUUCUCUAGAUAUGCUCACUGCAUAGCCUCAGGAAGCCUAAAGAUAUUUUCCAACCAUUUGUGCUUUGACUCAAGAAUUUCCCUUCAUCUUCCUUGAGCUUUGAACCUCUUGCCUAGUUGGUUCUCACUUUUCCAGACCUUUUUGGAGGUGCAUUCCAGUCCUUUCCUCUUAUACAAUCUCAUUUUGGAUAUAUCGACCUUGGUGCUGACCUGGUAUGCACCGCCCUGUCCAGGGCCUUGAUUGGUUCAUAUGAGUUAGAGGUAACUCUGUAUCAAGUGCUUGGUUGUUCUUGAGGCCGUGUUCCUGAGGAAUAAAGAAGAUUAAAUAUUGUGUGCUUUUAUGCAAGUCACUAAACUCUCUAUACUUCAGUUUCCUCAUCUAAAAAAUAGAGAUAGUAAUAGUAUCUUAUCUCGUAGGUUAUUAUGAAGAUUAAGUAAUAUACAUAAAGCCCUCAGGAAAAGCAGCACUUUAUAGUGAGUAUCUGGUGAGAAGGCAGCCGUCUGUGAACCAGAACGAGGGCCCUCACCAAGAAGUGACCAGGCUGGCACCCUGAUCCUGGACUUCUGGCAUCUGGAACGCAGUUGACAUUUGAAAUACCUACUAUCUUCAAGGAAGCCUCACCUCCAAUGAGAGAAGUAUGACCCUACUCUGUGUUCACAAGCAGACAAGAAUGUGAAAACAGCUGUUCAACAGUGGUACAAAAAACCAUUGCAGGGGUUGUGUCAUUACAUUUCUAAAUUAUAGAAUUAUGUCUUUAUACUUGCAAAUUAAAAUUUCUAGAUAUUUUU